CUAACACGCUACAAUGGGCCGUACAAUGGGCAGCCAAAGAGCAAUCUGGAGCAAAUCCCAGCAAAACGGUUCGUAGUUCGGAUUGGAGGCUGCAACUCGCCUCCAUGAAGUCGGAGUUGCUAGUAAACGCAGGUCAGCCAUACUGCGUUGAAUACCGUUCCCGGGUCUUGUACACACCGCCCGUCAAGUCAUGGAAGUUGGUAACACCUGAAGCCGGUGACCUAACCGCAAGGAAGGAGCUGUCGAGGGUGGGAUCGAUGACUGGGACUAAGUCGUAACAAGGUAGCCGUACCGGAAGGUGUGGCUGGAUCACCUCCUUU
RNAcentral lists this ribosomal RNA (320 nucleotides) under Gemmatimonadota bacterium. Its description in RNAcentral is "bacterial SSU rRNA". It matches the Rfam family "Bacterial small subunit ribosomal RNA", at positions 1217 to 1533 of the family's 1533-position model. Lineage: Bacteria; Pseudomonadati; Gemmatimonadota. The record is from RNAcentral.